RNAcentral lists this ribosomal RNA (497 nucleotides) under uncultured bacterium. RNAcentral describes it as "partial 16S ribosomal RNA". It matches the Rfam family "Bacterial small subunit ribosomal RNA", at positions 28 to 507 of the family's 1533-position model. The record is from RNAcentral.
GAUGAACGCUGGCGGCGUGCCUAAUACAUGCAAGUCGAGCGGAAGGACGCGAAGCUUGCGUCUUUGAUGUUAGGGGAGGACGGGUGUGUAACACGUGGAUAACCUACCUAUCAGACUGGGAAAACUUCGGGAAACGGGAGCUAAUACCGGAGAAUAUUUUGAACCGCAGGGGUGAAAGGUGAAAUACGGCCUUGCUGGCACUUAUCGAUGGAUCCCCGCUGCAUUAGCUAGUUGGUAAGGUAACGGCCUACCAAGGCAAGGAGGCAUAGCCGACCUGAGAGGGUGAUCGGCCGCACUGGAGCGGAGACACGGUCCUGACUCCUGCGGGAGGCAGCAGUCGGGAAUCUUCCGCAAUGGGCGAAAGCCUUGCGGAGCGGCGCCGCGUGUGUUAUGAAGGUCUUCGGAUCGUAAUACUCUGUUAUUAGUGAUGAACAUAUGUGUAAGUAACUGUGCACAUCUUGACGGUACCUAAUCAGAAAGCCCCGGCUAACUACGUG